CCCUUCCCCACCGCCUCCCCUGCCCCAGGCCCAAACUCAGGCCCAGGCGGACCGGUCCCCCGGGACCCGCAGGCCUCGGCCCGGCCCCGACGCUCCCAGCCCUGGGAUUCGACCCUCGGCCGACGGGGGGCGCUCUCCCCCGCCCUCACGCCGCCGCAAAGCACCCUGGGAGUUGUAGUUCUCGCUCUCCCCGCCCGGCCCCCGCUACCGGCCGCCCCUCGCCGCCUUCCUUCCCGGCUCCCGCCGGCCCCUCUCCCGCUGGGGGAUACCCGGCUACAGGCCGCGCCCCCGCCGCGAACCACCGCUCCCGGCGCGCCCCGCUCCGCCGCCGCCUUCCGCUUCCUCCGCCCGGCGCCCCUCGGGCCUUGUAGUCCCCCCGCCCUAUUCACGACGGGCCCUGCGCUGUUUCCGCGCCGUAGCGCCCGCAGGCCGGGAUGGGGCGCUACGCCACGGCGGCGGCGUAAGGGCGGGCUCGGGGACUCCGGGGCAGGCCGGGCCGCCGGCGGAGCGGGAGGAAGGCGCCGGCGGAGCGGCCGGGCGCCGCGGCGGGCGGGCGGGCGGGGAGGGAGGGGUGGAAGUUGCCCUGCCCGGGGGAAAGUGCGGCGCCGGGGCUUGGAGGGGGGGACGCCAGCAGCAGCGCGGCCGCCUCCAUCCCCAGGCGCUGUGCCCCUCCAGACAUCCCCGCGUUCGCAUCCAGCCCCCUCGGGAGAUCCUGCCCGGUUGCUAAUUGUCACGAGCUGUCCAGAAUCCUUAUCAUGAAGAUCCUGCUGUGUUCCUGAAGUGUUGCGGUACCUGCUGCGACCACAGCGCUUGCCGGAAUGCUAAACAGCCUCUACCAUCAGAGAGAGUAAGGCCAAGUGGUGGGAACAGAACUAUAAAGUCACCGCCAAAGGUUCUGAAGCCACAAGUGAAGAAUCUGACCCAAAAGCAGAGCGACUCCUGUCUCCAGGCGGGACCGAGAUCCAGCUGAUGCUGCGGGAACCACAGAGCCUUCUGAGAGCUCAAGUUCAAGUGGAUGCAUGUUGAGUCACCUAAAACGUGAGUUAGUUGCGUGCGCUGGUGUGAGAUGCUGGUCACAGAAUCCCAGAAUGCUAUGGGGUUGGAAGGGACCUCUGGAGAUCAUCCAUCCAACCCCCUGCCAGAGCAGGUCCACCCAAAGCAGGUCGCACAGGAACGUGUCCAGGUGGGGUUUGAAUGUCUCCAGAGAAGGAGACUUCACCACCUCCCUGGGCAGCCUCUUCCAGGGCUCUGCCACCCUCAAAGUAAAAAAGCU
RNAcentral lists this long non-coding RNA (1273 nucleotides) under Calidris pygmaea (Spoon-billed sandpiper). RNAcentral's name for it is "lncRNA (ENSCPGG00000017735.1)". The record is from RNAcentral. Lineage: Eukaryota; Metazoa; Chordata; Aves; Charadriiformes; Scolopacidae.